ACCGCUGAGCCACCUUCCCAGCCCAGGUAUAACUUAAAUAAAGCAGGGGCUGGGAAGGUGGCUCAGCGGU
Molecule: microRNA precursor, 70 nt
Filed under: Dipodomys ordii (Ord's kangaroo rat)
Lineage: Eukaryota; Metazoa; Chordata; Mammalia; Rodentia; Heteromyidae
Description: mir-3473 microRNA precursor family
Rfam family: mir-3473 microRNA precursor family
Source: Rfam by way of RNAcentral